This is a long non-coding RNA of Rhineura floridana, 391 nucleotides long. RefSeq lists it as uncharacterized. NCBI's taxonomy places the organism in Eukaryota, Metazoa, Chordata, Lepidosauria, Squamata, Rhineuridae. The record is from RefSeq and is a predicted model, not a curated record. The transcript has 3 exons.
GGAUAAAGAAUUUGCAUUGCUUUGACAGAGCCAAGGAAGUAUAGUUCCACAGUUACAGUAAGCCACAUUUCAACUGAACAUCAGGAAAACCUUCCUAACUAUGAGAGCAGUACAACAAUGGAACCAAUGACCUAGGGAGGUGGUGGGCUCUCCAACACUGGAGACAUUCAGGAGGCAGCUGGACAGCCACCUGUCAGUUUGCUGCUUUGGUACCAUUUUUGCCCCUUCCGUUCUGGUUACUGGUUCUUUCUUCCUGAAUUAAUCAAACAGAUAAUCACAGCCAAUCAGGGAUUCUGCAAAAAUGGUUUGAUGUCACUACACACUGUGUAGCCAAUCAGAUUUGGCUACAUGACAGCCAAAUAAGAAUAAGAGCAAAUGUUCAAGCCUGGAC